This 229-nucleotide unclassified non-coding RNA is filed under the name plant metagenome. RNAcentral describes it as "partial contains small subunit ribosomal RNA, internal transcribed spacer 1, and 5.8S ribosomal RNA". The record is from RNAcentral.
UCUCCGUAGGUGAACCUGCGGAGGGAUCAUUACAGAGUUCAUGCCCUACCGGGUAGAUCUCCCACCCUAUGUUAUUAUUACUUUGUUGCUUUGGCAGGCCGUUAGGCUCCGGCCCGACUACCGGCCCCGGCUGGUAAGCGCCCGCCAGAGGACCCAAAACCCUGAAUAUUAGUGUCGUCUGAGUACUAUAUAAUAGUUAAAACUUUCAACAACGGAUCUCUUGGUUCUG